UGGGGAAUAUUGGACAAUGGGCGAAAGCCUGAUCCAGCCAUGCCGCGUGUGUGAAGAAGGUCUUCGGAUUGUAAAGCACUUUAAGUUGGGAGGAAGGGCAGUAAGCGAAUACCUUGCUGUUUUGACGUUACCGACAGAAUAAGCACCGGCUAACUCUGUGCCAGCAGCCGCGGUAAUACAGAGGGUGCAAGCGUUAAUCGGAAUUACUGGGCGUAAAGCGCGCGUAGGUGGUUCGUUAAGUUGAAUGUGAAAGCCCCGGGCUCAACCUGGGAAAGGCAUCCGAAACUGGCGAGCUAGAGUAGGGCAGAGGGUGGUGGAAUUUCCUGUGUAGCGGUGAAAUGCGUAGAUAUAGGAAGGAACACCAGUGGCGAAGGCGACCACCUGGGCUCAUACUGACACUGAGGUGCGAAAGCGUGGGGAGCAAACAGG
This 429-nucleotide ribosomal RNA is filed under the name Pseudomonadota bacterium. Its description in RNAcentral is "Proteobacteria bacterium partial 16S ribosomal RNA". It matches the Rfam family "Bacterial small subunit ribosomal RNA", at positions 355 to 776 of the family's 1533-position model. Lineage: Bacteria; Pseudomonadati; Pseudomonadota. The record is from RNAcentral.